AUUUAUUCGCAUGUGUUUAUUGCUGCAUAGUUUCAAGAUUAUUAACAUUUUUAACUUCGAAGAAAUUUGUUCACCGGCGAUCAUGAAGAUUUUACUCAUAUCAGUUAUGUUAAUGCUAUUAAUUGCAACUACAUCAGGUGCUAGAUGGAAAUACCUUCUAAGGGAAAAGGCUUACCUACUGAAGGCGUCAGCCGAGCGAGUCCAGAAAGAUCUAACGGCACUGCGGGCGAUACUGUCCUUCCAGGCUCGGAUUAAAUCGAAACUGGAUUCAAAUUGUUAAUGGAGUAACGCCUACAUCAAACAUUCGCAGACGCCUACAAAAAUGUCGUGGACACAAUAAAACGAGUUUUAAUAUCACAAAUAUAUUUAUUGUAUUAUUGUACAUUAUGUUUACAUAACACAGACGAAGUACUACUAUCACUCUGAGAAUGAUUAAACGAAUUUAGAAACUAUA
Molecule: long non-coding RNA, 454 nt
Organism: Leguminivora glycinivorella
Lineage: Eukaryota; Metazoa; Arthropoda; Insecta; Lepidoptera; Tortricidae
Exons: 3
Source: RefSeq, a predicted model, not a curated record